CACCUCACACCUGCCCACUCUGUCCACGCCGCUUCCAGGACGCCGCGGAGCUGGCGCAACACGUGCGCCUGCACUAAGUUCAGCCCUGCUCUCUCUGGGCCACCACGUUCGUCCCACACAGUGUCAUUCCUACACAUAUCCCAGUUCUGCUGAGGUUACUGCCUUACCCUAGGCCUCAGUUUCCCCACCAACCCCCAAAGAGAAACAUCAUUUCGUCUUUUCUUCUGUCUAGCUGUGUGAUGUAGACCAAAGUUGUUGCCCCUCUGGGCCUGGGUGUCAAUUGGAACUGGGCUUCAGUCCAGCCGUGCUGUGUAAGCCUUUGCAAAUGCUACGACCUCUCCUGAGUCUUGGUCGUCUACUCUUCCCAAGUAGUAAGGUCCUCGUGGAAGAAAUGACAAAAGCACCAGCACGGUCUGGAUCACCUCUGUACUUCCCUCUAAUGCCCAUGAUCCCUCGUUCUUUGCCCAAUAAACAUUCCGCACUUCA
Molecule: long non-coding RNA, 486 nt
Filed under: Rattus norvegicus (Norway rat)
Lineage: Eukaryota; Metazoa; Chordata; Mammalia; Rodentia; Muridae
Description: long non-coding RNA NONRATT000362
Source: RNAcentral